This 497-nucleotide ribosomal RNA is filed under the name [Candida] sp. Its description in RNAcentral is "eukaryotic LSU rRNA". It matches the Rfam family "Eukaryotic large subunit ribosomal RNA", at positions 62 to 565 of the family's 3401-position model. The record is from RNAcentral. Lineage: Eukaryota; Fungi; Ascomycota; Saccharomycetes; Saccharomycetales.
AAACCAACAGGGAUUGCCUUAGUAACGGCGAGUGAAGCGGCAAAAGCUCAAAUUUGAAAUCUAGCACCUUCGGUGUUCGAGUUGUAAUUUGAAGAAGGUAACUUUCGAAUUGGCUCUUGUCUAUGUUCCUUGGAACAGGACGUCACAGAGGGUGAGAAUCCCGUGCGAUGAGAUGUCCAAUUCUUAGUAAAGUGCUUUCGAAGAGUCGAGUUGUUUGGGAAUGCAGCUCUAAGUGGGUGGUAAAUUCCAUCUAAAGCUAAAUAUUGGCGAGAGACCGAUAGCGAACAAGUACAGUGAUGGAAAGAUGAAAAGAACUUUGAAAAGAGAGUGAAAAAGUACGUGAAAUUGUUGAAAGGGAAGGGCUUGAGAUCAGACUUGGUAUUUUGUGUGCUUUUCCUUUUUGGAUUGGUUUCUGCAGCUUACUGGGCCAGCAUCGGUUUGGGUGGCAGGAUAAUGACAUUGGAAUGUAGCUUCGCUUCGGUGAAGUGUUAUAGACU